RNAcentral lists this long non-coding RNA (784 nucleotides) under Salvia miltiorrhiza (redroot sage). RNAcentral's name for it is "long non-coding RNA (SMIL_LNC006290)". The stretch from base 157 to 345 matches the Rfam family "MIR159 microRNA precursor family". Lineage: Eukaryota; Viridiplantae; Streptophyta; Magnoliopsida; Lamiales; Lamiaceae. The record is from RNAcentral.
UUAGCUAUAUAAAGCCUAAGUUUCACCUAAAAAAAUAUGAACUUCUUUGUUGGGAGGUAUAUCUCUCACUCUAUAUAUAUAUAUAUCCCCACAACACUACUUCCUUUGCUGCAUUAGAUGAGAAUUCUUAUUUAAACAAAGAGUGAGGAAAAUUGAGAGAGAGAGAGAGAGCUUUCUUUGGUCCAAGCAGAGGGGCAGUAUGAUUCAAUUUGCUGCUGACUCAUUCAUCCAAAUGCUGAGUAACAAUACAAGUUUUACUCAGCAGCUGAUUGAAUGAAGUGGGAGCUAAGUUGAAUCUUAACACUUGCUAUUCUUGGACUGAAGGGAGCUCCCUCAUCAUCCCCUAUAUAACACUUAUUAUCUAUUUCUUUUGUUUUAGUUGAUUAUUAUCUUUUUUCUUGCAGAUUGUUUUACCCUAAUCUCUUCACUUUUUUCAUGUGGAGGAACAUUAGACUGUAUGUUUCUUUAUGUACAUGGUAUGCAUCUUUAUUGGACAUUGAUAUUACUGUUAAAUUUUGUAUUUUGAGAUUUUGAUUUAGGGUUUUGUUUGGAUGGGCAAGUGAAGAACAAAUGGCGUUUCUUGGGCGUUGGUAGCAACAAGUUCCCAGGCAUGUGAAGUGGAAGUUGCAAUUACCCAAAUGCCCCUUCAUCUUCCAAGCCAACUGUAUUUUUUCCACCAUUAUGUAAUAUUUUUUAAUCUAAUUUGAUUAUAUGUUCGAGUUUCUAUGUACAAUUUAACCCCAGUAACUUAGACUAGCUAGGGUUUCUCUCAACAAUCUUGGUU